GACGAACGCUGGCGGCGUGCUUAACACAUGCAAGUCGAACGGAAAGGCCUGCUUUCCCUUGUGGAUUGCGGGUACUCGAGUGGCGAACGGGUGAGUAACACGUGAGUGAUCUGCCCCCAACUUUGGUAUAAGCCUGGGAAACUGGGUCUAAUUCCCGAUAGGACUGCAGGGUGGUGCCUGUGGUGGAAAACGAUUUUCUAGUGGUUGGGGGUGAGCUCGCGGCCUAUCAGCUUGUUGGUGGGGUAAUGGCCUACCAAGGCGGCGACGGGUAGCCGGCCUGGGAGGGUGGACGGCCACAUUGGGACUGAGAUACGGCCCAGACUCCUACGGGAGGCAGCAGUGGGGAAUAUUACACAAUGGGCGGAAGCCUGAUGCAGCGACGCCGCGUGGGGGAUGACGGCCUUCGGGUUGUAAACUCCUUUCGACCGCGAGGAAGCCACCUGGUUGGAAGGGUGGUGACGGUAGUGGUAGAAGAAGCACCGGCUAACUACGUG
This 494-nucleotide ribosomal RNA is filed under the name uncultured bacterium. RNAcentral describes it as "partial 16S ribosomal RNA". It matches the Rfam family "Bacterial small subunit ribosomal RNA", at positions 28 to 507 of the family's 1533-position model. The record is from RNAcentral.